CCUCACAUUUCCCACCCCUCAACCCUUUUAUCUGCUGGGUCGCUCUUUGCUUCCUCCACAAACGCCACCAUCUCUUUCUUGAGGGGUCGUUGUUGUCCCCCCACUCUUUUUUGGGGUGUCUUUGAUGUUCCAAAUCAGUUUUUUUAUCUUUUUUUUGUUUUCCAGCUCUUUUUCUCCCCUCAUGUUUCCCCCCCUUUUCCCCUCACGUUUCCCGCUCUUUUCUCCCCUCACGUUUCCCGCUCUUUUCCCCUCACAUUUUCUACUCUUUUCACCUCACAUUUCCACCCUUUUCCCUUCAUGUUUCUCACUCUUUUCUCCUCUCACAAUUCCCGUUUCUCCUCACCUUUUCCGCCUUUUCUCCCCUCACGUUUCCCGCUCUUUUCUCCCCUCACGUUUCCCGCUCUUUUCUCCCCUCACAUUUCCCACUCCUCCACCCUCAGCGCCACCAUCUCUUUCUUGAAGGGUUCCUCCUGUCCCCCCACUCUUUUUGGGGUGUCUUUGAUGUCCCCAGAUCUCUUUUUUGGGGUGUCUUUGCUGCACCCCCAGACCCCAAAUUUUCCUUUCCUCACAGCUGGGGGGCUCGGCCCCUGUUCCUGGGGCUCCCCCAUUCCUGCCCAAGCAGCCGGGGACCCUCCCCGUCACCUCGGGGGUUCAGCCGCAGGUGAGCCCAGGCCUGGCUCAGGUCGGGAUCAUGGAGGAGCAGCAGCGGCAGCAGAGCCUGUUACAGCUCCGAGCCCAACAACAGCAACAAGCACAACCCCCCCCUGCUCCCC
This is a non-coding RNA of Cyanistes caeruleus (blue tit), 773 nucleotides long. The record is from RefSeq and is a predicted model, not a curated record. NCBI's taxonomy places the organism in Eukaryota, Metazoa, Chordata, Aves, Passeriformes, Paridae.